GAGACAAGCAUAUGACUACUGGCAGGAUCAACCAGGUAGCAUUCCUUAUCGACGCCGAUCGCCGCAUGAGCCGAGCCAAUAGGCCCGACCAAAACGGGAACGGACAUCGUCCGCGUGAAGCGUAGAACGCUUUGUUUUCGGGGCAAAUAGAGGUCGGGGACCUCGUACCGCAUGGGUAUUCGGCAUCCGAGAGAUCGAGCAUAAUGCCAUGCGCCAAUGAUCGGAGUGCAGUUCAAAGCACAAGGAUCAUUGGAACACAACGAAUGCUUCGUUGCCCACCCCGCACCGCAGCCCAGAAGGCCGCAACACAAGGAGGGAACGGGACAUUUGGACUACAACAUGCCUUCUCGAUAGGUAUACAGCACAGGAAACCCGUCGUCAGUCAAGGCGAUCUACAACUUGAGCCGACCAUUGAAGAGGCGUGCACAAGAUGCCGUCGCUGCCAGAGCAGGGAACCGACAUGCCCAUACGCGCCAAUCACCACUCACGCGCUCUAU
This 497-nucleotide unclassified non-coding RNA is filed under the name Neosparton aphyllum. Its description in RNAcentral is "partial external transcribed spacer". Lineage: Eukaryota; Viridiplantae; Streptophyta; Magnoliopsida; Lamiales; Verbenaceae. The record is from RNAcentral.